Molecule: long non-coding RNA, 5259 nt
Organism: Poecile atricapillus (Black-capped chickadee)
Lineage: Eukaryota; Metazoa; Chordata; Aves; Passeriformes; Paridae
Exons: 3
Source: RefSeq, a predicted model, not a curated record
CUCUGUUGCAAUGUGGCUUUGACAAUGAUGCAGGCUCUUGUUUUCAAUGAAAAUACCAGCAUUGUGCAGCCUCCAGACAGAGCCAGACAGCUUUCCAUGUAAACCACUGGAUUAUGCCAAUAUUUGACGCAUCUGCCAAUAUCUAGAAAAACAAGUCUAAAAGCCCAUAUUGUUAUAUAACAGAGAAACAAGGCAGGCUUGGUGUGAAGGGCUGCUUCCUCUUGCUCUCUUGAUCCUGAGGAAGCCAGAGGAUGCCAGAGGAUGAGAAGGAGAAUUCCAGUUUCAGCAGAGGCUGAAGCCUUUGCAUGCUAGCUGCAGGGGAGAUGGGAGAAGCUUGAGCCCUUCCUCCUGCCCAAGUGGGAAAAAUCAGGCUCUCACAGCAGCAUCCUAAGCACACUGUAGGUGCUUGAUGUGUUGAAAGAGAAAUCUUUGAAGUAUUUGAAAGAAGGGGGCUUUCCACUUUCCCAAGGGGUCUGCCUGGUCCCCUCUUCCUGGUCAGCUUGAUGAGAGGGAACUCCUGUUUGAGAUUCCCAUGUUGGGGGGCAUUGGGAUGGCCAAAAAGGGAGCAAAACACCUGAGAGAUCUCAGAAAUUCAGAGCCAAACACAAGCCCUGUCACAAAGAGCAGAGGAUCACCCUUUAUCUUGUUUCACCUGGCCACUCUGGCUAGGACAGAGGCCCUCUGUUGCUUGUGCUUCCUCCCCUGUGUGGGGCCAGGAGGAGACUAGAAGCAAGUUCCUCUGGGAUGCGGAGGGCAAGCAGGGCAAGGAUGCCCUCUCUGCUCUGCCAGGAGCUGCAAUGGGCCAGGAGCAACAGAAGGAUAAGAAAGCUCAGCAGCCCCACAGUCCUGCCAGCAGAUCCACAAGGUGUAGAUGGAGGAAGGGAGUGCUGGCCCUUGAAAUGGCAGCCCCAGUGCUGCUCACUGGGCAUCUGCUGUUCUCCCUGCCUUCCCUUUGUGCCUGUGCAAGAGCUUCUGACUGUAUCUGGAUUAUCUGACUGUACCUGGAUUAUCUACUUCUACCCCCCAGCUCCCCUUCAAAGUCGUCUGUCCUGAGCCUGUAUCAGAGGGGAGUCUGGCUCCUGCUCUGUGCAGCCCCUGCUUGCACUUGGCUCUGCCUGGCUGCAGAGGGCUGUAAUUUCACAGCCUGCUCUCCUCUCCAGCUCCCAAUGACAUCACCCACUCUGAUUAUAUAAAGCACAGGGAGGAAGCCUUUAUUUAUGCGUGCUUUUUGCUCAUAGCUUCAGCUGUCUCAGUGUACAACACACAUGCAAAUCCCACUGCAGGAACUGGGCUCUCUUUUGCCUGAAUCAAAACUGCACUGCAGAAAAAGGUGUGGGUGAAAAAAAAAAAAAAGUCUCUGUUUCCUUCCCCCACACCUCUGAAUACAUUUUUGAGGAGUUUUGGUAGGAAUCAACCUAGCACAACACUGCACCAUAGCAAACUGGGCACAAAGCCAUCAGCUUCCUCCCUGCCUGGGAAGUCCCCAGAGAGCUGAGGGACCUUUGCUGGCAGUUCCAAGCCGUGUCUCUGCUGGUCAUGAAGUGGCUACACCGGGGCUGGAAACCUAACCCCCUGACAAUGCCUGACAGAGUCCCUGCAAAGGCCAGCCCAGGGCUGUAAGGCCACUGGCAGUUUCCCUCCCUGGGCUCUGGAGGGCUCAGCCAAGUCCCUGUGCACCCCCUGACAAGCAGGUGACCCCCACCACCUGCUCCAUCCUCCUCUGGUCAAUGCUGCAGACACGAGCCAUCUCUGAAUGUUAGCACUGCCAGAGACAGCAGCUUCUUUGCCAGAAGUGGUUUGGGAUUUGUGCAGGAUUCUUGCCAAAUUCCACCAUGGGCAGAAGCGAUGGAAACUGAGAAAAGAAACUUUCUCUGCUGAGGAGUCAGGCAAACGCGUGCACACUCGGCUCCGGAGCAUCAGUUUACCAGACUCAGCACUAUCCCCCCAUCAGACACUGCUGAGAGACUUUGCUGAAUCAAGGCCUGAACAUCUGCAAAACACACACACACAGACACACACACACAAACUCUCUUCCCAUCUUUAAAAGAUCAAGCCUCCCUCCCAGCAGGAAAUGACCAACUCGCCUCCAGCAGCAGUUCAAAAUGCUGAAUUCUUAAUUUUGUAUGUUGAAAGAAGGGAGCAUCUGAGGGAAAAGAAAAGCAUUUCCCAGAUAUUUUUGUACUUAUGCCUCCAGGUCUAUAGGGCUUGAAUUCAACAGUGGAUUUAAGCAUGUGCUCAACGUUAGGAAUAUGCUCAAGUUCCACUGAGGCUAAAUCAGACACUUGAUCCCUGUGAGAUGUUUAAAAAAUAGAAUCAAACCAAAAGAAGCACCAGAAGAACCAGAAGAAGGAGGAUCCUAACAUGGAGAAGGACAUUAUCAUAUGUCUCCUCUUCCCUCAAAGCCUUUUCAAAGUCGAAUCUAAUUUAACCCUGAAAUUAGAAACCACCAACUUUGUUUGGAUUUCAAAGCCUAACAGAUUGCCUAAAAAAUUCAGGAAGGAUCACUGGUUAAAGAAAGCAAUUCCUGGAGAAACACAUGUGACCCCACAUCAAUAAUUCACUGUACGAGAAUGAUUUUGAGAUAAAAGUAAUGAGAAACACAUGCAAAAACCACAGGGCAGGGAAAAUACGGUUUCCUUCUAAAAGCAAUUCAUAGGUCAGAGGCUGCUUAUCUCCAACAGCCAUCAUACGACUUGAUGUUUUUUCCUUACUCUUGUCCCUGAUCCCUCAGCCCAGCUCUCUCAGCAAGGUAUCUGCUCCCUGCUUUACUGAGCGCUUGUCUCCAGUGAGGAAAGAGGUUUUUCCAAGCACCUGGCUGCGGGCUGGAGGAGGCAGGAGGAGGCUGAGCCCCCGCUGUCGGUGCUGCAGCGCGUUAUGCAACUGCUGUGAGCCCUCUGGCCACGCAACAACGCUGUGGUGGCGCGCGGCCAGCCUGCAAUAAACACACUCACACUCCUGAUUCCACAGGGCACCACGAACACAUGUUUCAGAAGGAAAUCUGGCUCACAAAUACACAGCUAAAAGUUAAUAUUCUCCACCUGAGCUGUGAAAUCGCUCCCAACAAGCCUUGCUUUUGGAUUUUAAAUCAAGUCUCAUGAUUAUUUUUGUGCAUUUUCUCCCAGUUGGAAGAAGAUACUUGCUCAUCUGACCCUGUUUCCAGUCAAUUUCUACCAAUGGGUCCCUGGCAUGUAGGAGUAUUUGUACUCCAAAUGCUAAUAAACUGUGCCAUGAAAAUUAAUUGAAAAAAAUCCUUCAUAUAUUUAAGUUUUUAGAAGUAAAGAUUUACCAUUUUAAAUAAACAAAGAAAUGAAAAUUUAAGACCGACAAUAAAAAGACCUGACAACAUACUAUAAACAGGAAUUUGAAGGAACAAAAAAGUUCUAUGACUAACAUUUUCGGCUUCAUCUUAACCAUGUCAGGUCUGCCUGCAAAAGUUAGAGAUGAACAUGCACCCAACUGUAUUCUCAAAUCAAGGGCAAAGGAAAAACAAACCACAAAUUAUGGAUCUAUGACCUAACAAUGGUAAGAACAAUAAUAGAAAUAAUAAAAAAAAACCCAACCCCAAGGCAAUGCAGUUUUUCAAAGUCACACAAAUCAAUGCACCUCUGCCCGUUGACAAGCCACGUAUCAGGCAGAUAAGGGGUGGCACAGUGCAUAAGAAAGUAGUCGUGAUUCAAGCCUGUAAGUGGAAACUAAAUAAAAACAGCAAUGUACUGAUGUGCUCCACAACUGCAGCGUUUUGUCCAAAGGCCACCUCAGUGACAAAACCAAAAACAGGUACCCUGGGAAAGGGAGUAUCUUACCAAGAAACUGAAAUACUCAGGAAAAAAUAGCCAGUUUGGGGGCACACAAACGCUUCUCCCUAUCUGCAACAGGAGCCACAAGCCUUAAGAUGGGAAGACUCAUCCCUGAUGUCAACUUUGGAAGAGUUUCAGGUUCUUGGCAAACAGAAGCUGCAAGACCAACAAACCUUGUGCCAAGUGAUGUGUUGCCACCACUGGUCUAUUCCAACAUGGAUCUUUCUAGCCUUCUACUGCAGUCUGGAGAAAGACAUGCUCUCUCCACCUCUCUCUGCAUCACACAGCUGUCAAAAUCUCUGCGUUUCCUGAGAUCCUUCUGGGGAUACACAGUGUGCUCACAACCGCCAAGUCAGUGCAGCGUCCUCCUGCAUGCUGCCAACAUGCCUGCAAAGCAGCUGUGCCAUUCAUCAGAAACCUGCCUCCUUGCAGAGGAGGCACUAACCUGCUUUGCUGCAACCUACGGAUUUUCAGCUUUACUGCUAGAAUUAGGUCACUGGCAAAGAUAGCCAAGAUUUUCCAAAUUCUCCAGCUAUUCUUGAUUAUUCUGUUCAGAGGUUUCCUGGCUAAGAACCCUGCCUUUGAAAUGAAGAGGUAUUUUGGGCUCCUGCAAGGCUUCUGCAGUCAGACACUGAGAAGCAGGGAUGCUCUCACUCCAUAAUCCUUAAUGGCCUCUAAAACUGCUGGCAAUGGGAAAGUUCUCCAGCUCAGAUCUACUGCCACCAGGUCCUUCCAGCCUCUCCAGAAGAAAUCAGAGAUGGUGCACACCAGAAAACAGAUGAAUUGGCAAGGAUCUGCAGAGACCCUCGAAGACCCAUGCCUGCACUUGAGUCUGGCAGAACCUGAGGUAGCAGACAGCUUCCCAGCAGGCAGCUGGAGAGCAGCCAGGGACCAGCCUCCUGCCUACAGUGGAAAAGCUACCCCUGGUCCACAGGUUGUACAGCAGUAAAAGCACACACAGUACCUCAAAGCCUCUGCUUCUCUGCAAUACUACUGAAAGAGAUCUUGGACUUUGGUACCUUUCAAAUGCAGUCAGGUUUCAAACUUGUACUUUCAUUAACCAGCUGAAAGAAGCAAGCAUUUGCUUUGUAAGACAGACAUUUGUACAUCACUGAAACACUAAAGGAUGCUAUCAACUUGUUAUCUGGGAAAAUAUGUUUCCUGUUUUUAAAAUCAUGAGUAGGAAAUUUGUCAGUAUCAAGAAUAGAUUCUGAUGUGGUUUUUUGUCAUUAACAUAGUUUUAAAAAUUACACAGGUAAGUUCUAGCUACUAAGAAUUUUUCCAUCACAUACAUCUAUUUUCUGAAGCUUACCUCAUGGAAGAAAAUUCCUAAUAAAAAUAUAUUCUAAGAAUGUGACCAUUUGACAUACUUGUUUACACAAAAUCUUUUAUGCCAAAAGAAAGCAUGUGCUCUUCAUCUAAUAUCUCUUCACAUUGUCAGAAAUAUUUAAGGAGUCAUCAA